Molecule: regulatory RNA element, 103 nt
Organism: Eubacterium sp. CAG:38
Lineage: Bacteria; Bacillati; Bacillota; Clostridia; Eubacteriales; Eubacteriaceae
Rfam family: THF (Tetrahydrofolate) riboswitch aptamer
About the family: THF riboswitch presents a pseudoknot that joins P1-P2 and the loop of P3 and two THF binding.
Source: Rfam
AACAGAGUAGAAGUCAUGCGUAAAGUGUCAAUGGACGGGAAGUUGCCAUUGGACGAAAAAUCCCUGUAAAGCGGAUUUGCGAUGUGCCUUCGCAUCCGCUGUC